RNAcentral lists this ribosomal RNA (254 nucleotides) under uncultured bacterium. RNAcentral describes it as "partial 16S ribosomal RNA". It matches the Rfam family "Bacterial small subunit ribosomal RNA", at positions 526 to 779 of the family's 1533-position model. The record is from RNAcentral.
CGUAUGGUGCAAGCGUUAUCCGGAUUUACUGGGUGUAAAGGGAGCGUAGACGGAUAGGCAAGUCUGGAGUGAAAACCCAGGGCUCAACCCUGGGACUGCUUUGGAAACUGCAGAUCUGGAGUGCCGGAGAGGUAAGCGGAAUUCCUAGUGUAGCGGUGAAAUGCGUAGAUAUUAGGAGGAACACCAGUGGCGAAGGCGGCUUACUGGACGGUGACUGACGUUGAGGCUCGAAAGCGUGGGGAGCAAACAGGAUU